AAAGAAAAGAUUAGACACAGGCUUUUUCUUGUUCUGUAGGAAAUAGAAGUUAGAUACAAAUUAGCAUUUGAUCCCGACCAGAUGUUGCUUUAACCAAAAAUAUUUCGUCAUUGACAGAAAUUUGUUUAGCUGUGAUAGUGUGAUUGAAUUAUCUGAAAGUCGUCCGUCAAUUUGACAGAUUAAAUUGAGGCUGAUGUUUUGUAAUUUCACUGUAAUUCUCACUCCUGUCCACUUGGUGGCGAGUGCGGUCUUACUGACUAUCAAGUUAAUGGUCAACGAAAGACUUUUCUGAGUUAGGCUGUUUAAUGUCUUUCUGUGGUUGAAACACUGAUUGAUUAUGAGAGACAGACAUUAUACGGAUUUCGGUCAACAACAUAAUCCCUGAUGUUCAUUCAAGUUUAUUUCGUUCUGUAACGUUGUAAAUUGGACGGAAUUAAUCUUCACUACUCACGAUCGAUCCACUUCACUUGAACUGAGGCGAGCUGUGUUCUCUCGCACCACAUUAAAGAGCGCCAAAACGAUGUCUGAAAUAUCAUCUGGGGCGACCAUCAAGAAAAUACAAAUAAGGGACUUAUAUUCUGAUAAUCAUCUCAAAGAGGAUGUAGCAUCAGCCAGCCUCGUGGUGAGGGCGUCACAGAGACAACUAGCAGAUGGCCCCACUAACAAGUAAAGAAAAGACUGCUCGCUACAGGCAGUGGAAAAUGCUGUUCAAUGUGUCUGCAGAAUGCUGCUAUGUUCAACUGUUAAAUGAAAAUAGUAAUGAAAAGACAAACAUUGUAUGUUUAAGUUAAUGAAAUGAAAAUGAAAAGGAAAAAAGCUGUUCAAUGUUAUGUCCAAGCGUUUAAUGCAUUAGUAUUGAAAAUUUUAAUAUGAUGGUUAUGUGUAAAAUGAAAUAGUGAGGAAACUGUUUAUGAAAUGUGUCAAAUGAAAUGGAUAUGCUGAUUCUUCAUAAAAUUUCAUUAAAUAUGCUGAUUCUUCAUAAAAUUUCAUUAAAUGUGUUUUAACUAUCAAAUUCAU
Pimephales promelas (fathead minnow) is the source of this 1017-nucleotide non-coding RNA. The record is from RefSeq and is a predicted model, not a curated record. Lineage: Eukaryota; Metazoa; Chordata; Actinopteri; Cypriniformes; Leuciscidae.